Hibiscus syriacus is the source of this 377-nucleotide long non-coding RNA. RefSeq lists it as uncharacterized. The transcript has 3 exons. The record is from RefSeq and is a predicted model, not a curated record. Lineage: Eukaryota; Viridiplantae; Streptophyta; Magnoliopsida; Malvales; Malvaceae.
CAGACAAGAGACGAGCGCAAGGCUUUUCACUUGAAGGGGGAAGCAGUAGGAAGAAUCGAAGUAGACGUAAAGGAAUCUUCCAAACACGUAGAAGUCAAUCUGUCGGAUCUAAGAGGGUACGAGAAGCAUGUGAUAGUGGAACUAAUGAAGGAAACACAAACAAAGAACUCUAAACCUAAUAAAGCUUUGUCCAACGACCCUGAAGACUGUAGAACGAUUAUCUUAUGUGAAGCAGACAGAUUAAGCCCAGAUGCUUUGUUAUACAUCCGAUGGCUGUUAGAAAGGUAUAAAGCGGGGAACAAGGUUUUCUUCUGCUGCUCCAACGUGUCAAAGCUUCAGCCGAUUAGGUCACUUUGCACACUCAUUAAGUUAUUACC